AACAGGGUCUCCCUCUUACCUGGGCUAGAGUGCAGUCGUGUGAUCAUGGCUCAGUGUAGCCUUGACCUCCUGGGGCUUAAGGGAUCUUCCCACCUCAGGCUGUCAAGUAGCUGAGACUACAGGCACGUGCUACCAUGCCUGGUUAUUUUUUAAAUUUUUUUAUAGAGAGGGAGCUCCCUAUGUUGCUCAGGCUGAUCUCAAACUUCUGGGGUCAAGCGAUCCUCCUGCCUUGGCCUCCCAAAGUGUUGGGAUUAUAGGUGUGAGCCACUGUGCUCGGUGCCACCCCACCUUUAAUUAAUAAAUAAAUUAAUUAAUUUUUCGAGACGGGGUUUCCCUGUGUUGCCCAGGCUGGAGUACAGUGGCGUGAUCUUGGCUCGCUGCAACCUCCGCCUCCUGGGUUCAAGCAAUUCUCCUACCUCAGCCUCCUGAGUAGCUGGGACUAUAGGCACAUGCCACCACACCCAGCUAAUUUUUGUAUUUUUAGUAGAGACGGGGUUUCGCCAUGUUGCCCAGGCUCGUCUCGAACUCCUGACCUCAGAUGAUCUGCCUGCCUUGGUCUCCCAAAGUGCUGGGAUUAUAGGCGUCAGCCACUGUGCCCACCCCCCAUCCCAAACUUUAAAAGAAUUUUUGUAAACAUAGAGAUAUGGUCUCACACUGUUGUCCAGGCUGGCCUCGAACUCCUGGGUUCAAGCAAUCCUCCUGCCAUGGCCUCCCAAACUUCUGGGUUUACAAGUGUGAGCCACUGCACCUCUCAUCUAGUAGGUGUUUUGAGGUUUUUCUACAUCAUAGGACUAAAUAAUGGGCAAUAGUUCUUCCAGUAAGGUUUCCCUGAGGUGUGAUAAAGCAAGAAAACUAAGCUAGCUGAUAUUUAAGAUUCCUACCUAGUUAAAUUUCUUUAAGCAUUUUAUUCAAUAUCUUUUAUUAUUUUAUUUUGUUUUUUUGAGACAAGGUCUCACUCUGUCACCCAGGCUGGAGUGCAGUGGCAGGCUGAAGUGCUCACUGCAGCCUCCACCUCCCAGCUCAAGCAGUCCUCCAUCAACCUCCUGAGUAGCUGGGACCAUAGGCACGUGCCACCACACUUGUCUAAUUUUUUGUAUUUUUGGUGGAGACAGGAUUUCUCCAUGUUGCCCAGGAUGGUCCCAAACUCCUGAGCUCAAGCCACCUGCCUGCCUGAGCCUCCCACAGUGCUGGGAUUACAGGCAUGAGCCUCUGUGCUUGGCCAAUAUCUUUUUUUUUUUUUUAGAUGGAGUCUCGCUCUGUCCCCCAGGCUGGAGUGCAGUGGCAUGGUCUCAGCUUAUCACAACCUCCACCUCCUGGGUUCAACCGAUUCCCUUGCCUCAGCCUCCCGAGUAACUGGGAUUACAGGCAUGCACCACCACGCCUGGCUAAUUUUAAUUCUCUAUUUUUUUUUUUUUUUUUAGUAGAGACAGGGUUUCACCAUGUUGGCCAGGAUGGUCUCGAUCUCUUGACCUCAUGAUCUUCCCGCCUCGGCCUCCCAAAGUGCUAGGAUUACAGGUGUGAUCCACCAUGCCCAGCCGAAUAUUAUUUUUUGUUAUACAUUUUGGUUAAGUGAUUGACCUGGUGAGUUAUAAUUAUUAUAAAUUUAAAAAUGUCAUCCAGUAGUAUUUGCCUAUUUGGAAUUAAUAGCCUUACUUUCUCAGUGAGUUUUGCCUUUUAUAAUGUUAAGUGCUCUUUAUAUGCUUUGAAAUGCUUUGUACUUUGAAAUAUUAUAGAGGUCCUAUUAGUAUAUUUUGGGCAUUUAAUUGGAUGAAGAAAUGAUUUCAUUUUCAUGGCUAUAACUCAAUUAUGUUACAGAAUUUGUUUCUUUCAGUAUAGUGAAAUCAUGAAUUCAGGUAGUAGGCUAGAAUUCUUGUUUGAGUAAUCUCAAAAUAUCUUUAUUCCUUUUUUUCUCCCUAAUUGGUGGAAGUGGUAACAAGUUUCUCUUCAGCACCCCUGACUUAGUACCCUCAUGAUUGCAGGCUUAGUCUAACAGCAGUGAGUUGACAAAGUUCAGGAAAAAAAAUUUAAGUAGAAUGCAGACUUUUUCGUCUGCCCAUUGUUAAAAAAAAAGUCAGAGGUUUCUUUUAUGAAUGCUAAUUCUUGAGGCAUUAUUGACUGAUAUUGAAACUUAAAAACACAUCAGCCAAUAAUGAAAUGGUACUGCUUUUACUUUCACUUUCCUUCCAGGUGAGUUGUACCUUGCUUCACAGGUAGGUUGUUUAAUUGGUAGUUAAUACCAAUUAAUUAAUUGGUAGUAUUUAAGCACAAUUAAGAUGUUACUUCUCUGUACUUUAGAUUUAGUGUUAUAGCUGUAAUGUUCUAAGAGCUCUAAAAUUAUGUCCUAGAUAUUCUAAUUGUGUUUAAAUGACUUUGCUGUAGUAGUAGUACCCAUUUUAAUGGGUACAGUUUUGCUUUGCUAUGUUCUAGAGUCUUUUUACAAGAUUAUGAGAUAUCCAUAAAUAAUUCUAAAAUGAAACCAAAAGAAAAUCUAAGAUAAUUUUUUUCUUUUUUUUUUUUUUGAGACGGAGUCUCCCUCUGUUUCCAGGCUGGAGUGCAGUGGCAUGAUCUCAGCUCUCUGCAACCUCCGCCUCCCAGGUUCAAGCAAUUCUCCUGCCUCAGCCUCCCAAGUCGCUGGGACCACAGGCACAUGCCGCCACGCCUGGCUAAUUUUUUGUGUUUUAGAAGAGACAGGGUUUCACCAUGUUGCCCAGGCUGGUCUCGAACUCCUGAGCUCACACAAUCUGCCCUCCUCGGCCUCCCAAAGUGGUAGGAUUACAGGAGUGAGCCACUGUGCUGGAGUCUCGCUCUGUCACCCAGGCUGGAGUGCAGUGGCGCGAUCCUGGCUCACUGCAACUUCCACCUCCUAGGUUCAAGCGAUUCUCCUGCCUCAGCCUCCUGAGUAGCUGGGACUACAUGCACCUGCCACCACACUCGACUAAUUUUUGUAUUUUUAGCAGAGACAGGGUUUCACCAUGUUGGCCAGGCUGGUUUCCUGACCUCAAGUGAUCCGCCCGCCUUGCCCUCCCAAAGUGCUGAGAUUACAGACGUGAGCCACUGCAUCCAGCCAAGAAAAUCUAAGAUAAUUCUGAGGCCAAUUUUUAUUAAAAUUGGACAGAAUGCUGGAGGAGAUAUAAAACCCAGCAGUUUUUCUGGGGUCUUCUUCAUGAUCAUUCUUUUAAAGAUUUUGUCCAUGUGUUAUAUAUAAUUUUGUAUGACUGCACAAGGGCAAAGUUAAAAUGAAUGUUCUGUAUGUUUGUCAAGACUAUUUUCCUUUUUAAUUUGGCUAAUGAUUAAUAGAAUUUGGCAUUGAAAUUCUUGCCUUUCCUAUGUUAGGCUUUGGCACUUUUUUUCUCAUGAAAAUAUCAUUUUACAUUAACAUAAUAAAUCCCACAUAUGAUCCUUUUUUUUGAGACAGGGUCUUUCCCUGUCACCCAGGCUGGAGUGUCAUGGUGCAGUCAUAGCUCACUGCAGCCUCGCUAUCUCCCACCUCAGCCUCCCAAGUCGCUGAGACCACAGGUAUGCACCACCACACCUGGCUAAUUUAAAAAAAUUUUUUUUUUUUUGUAGAGACUUGGUUUCAUUAUGUUGGCCAGGCUGGUCUUGAUAUCUUGGGCUCAAGUGAUCCUCCCACUUUGGCCUCCCAAAGUGCUGAGAUUACAGGCAUGAGCCACCACAUCUGGCCUAUAUGAUCUUAAUUGAUCCUAACAGUACCUAUAUUAUAUAAAUGCCUAUAUUUUGAAGAUGGUAAAACAAAGGGAUUAAAGGGCUUGCCCAAUAUAACAUGGAAAGUGAGUGAUAGAGUCAGGUUCUUUUCUUCUUCUUCAUACUGUACUUUUCACAAUUAUGUAAUAUCCACCCAUAUUUACAUUUAGCACUUGUUUUUGAAGUGUAUAGUAUACAUGUUAGCCGCUCAAUAUUUACCAAGUCAAAUCCAAACGAGAGAGGGACCCAAAAGAGGAAAUAAAAUAAACAGUUCUGUGGUGAAGGCUUGCCUUCAUGGACGUGUUUGAGAGACAUUUUAACUUCACUGUAACAUACAAAGUGGAUAAUUAUAAUUUGAAAGGCAGCAUAGUCCAAUAUUUCAGAGCGUGGACUCUGGAGCUAGAGCACUGUCAUUUGCACAUUCUGCAAUCUUGGGCAAGUUACCUGGCAUCUCUGUGCUUCAGUUUUCCCAUCUGUAAAAUGGGCAUAACAAUAGUUCUGUAACUCUGAGGUAAAUGUGAAUCAUAUAGUGAAUUCAUAUGUGUAAAAGCACUUAAUAACAGUGUCUGGCACAUUGUAAGUAUUUAGUAAAUGUUAGUUAGCUUUUAUUAAUAGAUUGCCUGCCUGACCUUUCUGAAAGACAUUUGAAUGAGAAUUUCUCUUUCUGUCUUUUUAUGAUUUUAUAAAUUUUUAUGUUAAACUUCUUAAACUUUAGUAGCUUGGCUGAGGCUGGCGGAUCACCUGAGGUUGGGAAUUCGAGACCAGCCUGACCAAUAUGGAGAAACGCUGUCUCUACUAAAAAUACAAAAUUAGCCGGGCGUAGUGGCGCAUGCCUGUAAUCCCAGCUACUCAGGAGGCUGAGGCAGGAGAAUGGCUUGAACCCGGGAGGCAGAGGUUGCGGUGAGCCGAGAUUGCGCCAUUGCACUCCAGCCUGGGUGACAGAGCGAAACUCCGUCUCAAAAAAAUUAAAAAAAAAAUAAAAUUUAUUUUUUAGGAUAAUACAAAGCAAAAAUUAAUAAAAUGAAGGAAAUAUAAAAAAGUCAAUAAAAAUGAAAAAAUGGAAAAGAAGAAAAAAGUUCUCUUAAUAUUAGAAUUUUUUAGGCAUUAAUGAAUUUUAUUUAUGAUGUAUAAUGCUUGACUCAAAAAUUGACUGGCUUUUUUGGUUGGUUUUAUAAUAUUAAAUUAGUAAUAUAAAAAACAUUCAACUGGGCGUGGUGGCUCAUGCCUGUAAUCCCAGCGGUUUGGGAGGCUGAGGUGGGCAGAUCACCUGACAUCAGGAGCCUGAGGCCAGCCUGGCCAACGUGGCAAAACCCCGUCUCUACUAAAAAUACAAAAAUUAGCCGGGUGUGGUGGCAGGCUCCUGUAAUCCCAGCUAUGUGGGAGGCUGAGGCAGGGAGAAUUGCUUGAACCUAGGAGGCGGAGGUUGCAGUGAGCUCAGAUUGCACCACUACACUCCAGCCUGGGCAGCAGAGCGAGAAUCCAUCUCAAAAACAAAACAAAAAAAAACACUCCAUAAAAUCAAGGACUGACGUACUUUAGAGAUUCUUCUGGACAGUGAUGUCUCACGUAUGUUGCCGAAAGGAAGGCAAUUUUUUUUUAUUUUUAUAACAAAGCAUAAGAGUUGGCAUAGAUUUUGUUCUCAUUACUUACUGUUUAUAUCUGUAAAAGGGGACAAGUACCUCUCUAGUGUGCAAUGAUAUUGCAGGAGAGAAUGUACUAAUUUAUAAGACAUGUAGUAGUGUGACAGGCAUUGGCGAACUAUGGCUUGUGGGCCAGAUUAAGCCUAUGACUAGUUUUUCUACAGCCUGUCACCUAAGAAUGGUUUUUACUUUUUUAAAUGGUUGAAAAAUAGUCAAAAGUAGAAUGUUUUGGGAAGCAUGAAAAUGAUUUGAAGUUCAAAUUUCAGUGUUCAUAAAUAACAUUUUAUUACAGUCACCCUCAUUUGUUUACAUAUUGUCUGUGGCAGCUUUUGUGUUAUGUUAGCAGAGUUGAGUAGUUUCAGCAAAGACCAAAUGGUCUGCAGAGACUGAAAUAUGUAUUGUAUGGCCCUUUACAGAAAAAGUUUGCUGACCUCUACUUUAUGACAUUCUCAAAAGAAUGGCUUAAAUUCAGCUUUAUGUAAUUGAUGUAUUUCUAAAAAGGCAAUAAUUAAAAUAUGUGAUGAAAUCAUAUUUUCAGCUUGAUUUUGGUUAUAUUUUCAGUGAUACAUUCCCAUGGAAUUCACAUGAGAAAUUUUGGUCAUAUUUUUUGAUAACAUUGAUGUAAAGCAGAGAUACUUGUUGGUCAGAUGUGUUGUGUAAUAUUUAGUUCCCUCAAGUGGGUUUUCAAAAACAAUUAAACUGAAAACCUUUUCCUGUGAGUUGCAUAAAGUUACAAAAAAUACCCUGACAUUUUUAGUACCUACAUUUAAACAUGUUUAAUUUCAUUAGAAUUUCUAAAGGAUCCUUGGGUUUAUUUAUUUAUUCAUUUAUUUUUUGAGGCAGGGUCUCACUCUGUCACCCAGGCUGCAGCACAGUGGCACGGUCACGGCUUACUGCAGCCUCGACCUCCUGGGUUCAGGUGAUCCUCCCACCUCAACCUCCUGAGUAGCUAGGACUGUAGGUGCCCACCACCGCAUCCAACUAAUUUUUGUUUUUUUUUUGUUUUUGAGAUGGAGUCUUGCUCUGUCCCCCAGGCUAGAGUGCAGUGGUGCGGUCUUGGCUCACUGCAACCUUUGCCUCCCGGAUUCAAGUGAUUCUCCUACCUCAGCCUCCUGAGUAGCUGGGAUUACAGGUGCAUGCCACCAUGCCUGGCUAAUUUUUGUAUUUUUAGCAGAGAUGGAGUUUCACCGUGUUGGUCAGGGUGAUCUUGAACUCCUGACUUUGUGGUCCACCCGCCUCAGCCUCCCAAAGUGUUGGGAUUACAGGUGUGAGCCAUAGCACCUGGCCAAUUUUUGUAUUUUUUGUAAAGAUGGAGUUUCACCAUGCUGCCCAGGUUGGUCUCGGACUUGUUGGCUCAAGCAAUCGGCCCUCCUUGGCCUCCCAAAGUGCUAGGAUUACAGGCGUUAGCCGCUGUGCCUGGCCGAUCCUUAGGUUUUUAAAUGUUCAGGCACUAUAAUGAGUUAUUUCUCUGCUUUGUCUGUAUAUUGUCUUACUGCAUGCUGUGGAUUUAGUCAGUUCAGUAAAUGUGUAUUACUUAGAUGUCAAAGAAAGGAUAUAUGGCUACAUAUGUCAGUUUUAUAUAUAACAGAAGUCAUACUGUAUUAAUUGGCAUUCUGUCCUGCUAACCAAGUGCUCGGUGUAAGACAUCAUUAAAAACAAAACAAAACAAAAGAAAAAAUCUGGGGGUUGGAGGGCCAGGGGAGGGAUAACAUUAGGAGAAAUACCUAACGUAGAUGACAGGUUGAUGGGUGCAGCAAACCACCAUGGCACGUGUAUACCUAUGUAACAAACCUGCACGUUUUGCACAUGUAUCCCAGAACUUAAAGUAUAAUAAUAAUAAAAAAAUGGGAGUAAAAGGCUUAUGGAGCUAUAAAACGAACAAACAAAACCCCAAAUCUAAACUUUUCUUGAGGACUAUUCUCACUGAAUAGUAACUUAAGUACACACUCAUUAGUUAGGUAAGUUAGUGCUGUUAAUGCAUUUGAUCAUGGAAUUAAGGGGAGGGUAAGGAGUAUCAGUGAAGCUUUAAAGUUUUAGUUGGUUCCAGCAGUACUGGAGAGGAACUGGAAAGCAGACUCAGGGAACCAUCAUAGAAUGAAAUCACUUUUAAUGGACUCAGCGCAAAGUCACAGGCAAAUCCACACGUGAAAGUGAGGAAAAGGACUGUUCAUUUUUGUUUUCAUAAGGUAGUCAUCACCUUGCUACUGCUUAUAUGUUAGAAAUCCUUAGUGUGAUUAUUAUGUAUCUCAAUGGACUGGAUGUUUGUUCUUUGGAUGACCAAAAUGUCAGAACUUGUUAAGAGAAUUAAAGUUUUGGGUUAUGUUAUUCUGA
RNAcentral lists this long non-coding RNA (7673 nucleotides) under Homo sapiens (human). Its description in RNAcentral is "HSALNT0356471". The record is from RNAcentral. Lineage: Eukaryota; Metazoa; Chordata; Mammalia; Primates; Hominidae.